AAUUCUCUGCGUUUUCGGAUGGCAUGAACUCUGAGAUGAUCUUUCUCUUCACAAAUUCUGAAUCGAUUCGUAAGUGAAGUCAAAUCAAAACGCCACCGUGGACCGAACCACCGACAGGGCCACCGGACUUUUCCUCUGCCGUAGAGAUCUCUCGCCGGAAGUCCGUCAUCUUCACCGUGAAGGGCACUCUCAGUCGGCGUCCGAAUGAAAAACAGGCAUCGAUCAGUUACGUUUGUCAGAUAAAAAGUUGUCUUCUAUCAGUUUUAUGUCAGAAAUAUCAUAAGUUGCAGAACAGUUACAUGACGUGUAUGUAUAUAUGUGUGUGUGUUAUAUACUACCUGCAAUAAGAUACGUCUGCUCGUCGCUCAUUACACCAAAAUCUAAAAAUGGAACCAACAGAUAGACCGGAAACAAGUAACAUGUAAGGAAAAAAAAUGGAUCUGGGUAUGAGGAAAUCAUCAUCAUCAUCAUCCUCAACGAGGAUCCAAAUCGGUAAUCGAAUUGGCAUCCACAGAACAAGAAA
Molecule: long non-coding RNA, 523 nt
Organism: Tarenaya hassleriana
Lineage: Eukaryota; Viridiplantae; Streptophyta; Magnoliopsida; Brassicales; Cleomaceae
Exons: 2
Source: RefSeq, a predicted model, not a curated record